RNAcentral lists this transfer RNA (72 nucleotides) under Sphaerodactylus townsendi. RNAcentral's name for it is "tRNA-Ser". It matches the Rfam family "tRNA". From Rfam's summary of the family: Transfer RNA (tRNA) molecules are approximately 80 nucleotides in length. Their secondary structure includes four short double-helical elements and three loops (D, anti-codon, and T loops). Lineage: Eukaryota; Metazoa; Chordata; Lepidosauria; Squamata; Sphaerodactylidae. The record is from RNAcentral.
GGGGAUGUGGCUCAGUAGCAAAGCAUCUGCUUGGAAUGCAGGAGGUCCUAGGUUUGAUCCCCACUAUCUCCA